This 1181-nucleotide long non-coding RNA is filed under the name Vulpes vulpes (red fox). RNAcentral's name for it is "lncRNA (ENSVVUG00000007222.1)". Lineage: Eukaryota; Metazoa; Chordata; Mammalia; Carnivora; Canidae. The record is from RNAcentral.
CUGAGUCACUGGGUGGACAGCUGCCUGGGACCGUUACCCACACUCACAGAAGAUUUUAUGUGUAAGGCAAAUAUAUUUUUGUGUGCUAAGCUAAUGAGAUUUUGGGAUUUUGUUGUGGUAGUUGUUACUUCAGCUUAGACUAAUUUAUCUUGACUAAUAUAAUAACUGCAUAAUUUGAGAGUGAAAUAAGAGAAGGGUAAAUUCUCAACCAUUAUAGGAAGUAGCCUUGUGAAAGCUUAAGUCAUUUCUAGUUCUUACCCAUUUUGGAGGCUUCUCAGGCAACAACAAAGAGACUUCAAAGGCUUGAUGGCAGAAUGCCCAUCUUGCGGGUCCCUGAUGGUCACAUAGGAGCCACAAGGGCCUGGUAAACGUUGUCAGGACACUCCUGAUUUCCCACCAGAGGGAGAAUAGCCUCCAGUUAGGAGCUAGUCUCAUCAGUUAACAGAGUGAAGAAUGUCAGUUGGAAAAUAUCAGCUCCUAAGGUCAGCUCGAGGCACCAGCCACACAGUGGGACACCCGUGAAGGUGGGUUGAUAGGGAGCUCUGAAAGCCUGAAGAAGAGGCACAGAGCCCCUAUUGAGAACCUUCUGAAAGGCUGACCUCACAACAGAGCCCUCUGAGGCUCUCACCACACCUGAUCCAGCAUCUGGCACACAGCAGCAUUCCAGCCAAUGACAAAUGCACAAAACCAAACAAAGGACAGUCUUGGAGGAAGUUUCUGACAGGCCUUACAGGCUUUUAGAGCACCCCUUCCACCACCACCACCACCAGCACCACCACCACCACCAUCAGCACCACCAGCACCAUUAUCAGCACCAUCAGCACCAGCCCCAGCACCACUACCAGCACCAGCACCAGCACCACUACUAGCACCACCAUCACCAGCACCAUCACCACCAGCACCACCAUCACCAGCACCAUCACCACCACCACAAGCACCAGCACCAUCACCACCAGCACCAUCACCACCACCACAAGCACCAGCACUACCAGCACCAGCAGCAGCAGCAGCACCACCACCACCACCACCACCACCACCACCACCACCAGCGCCACCGCCUCUCUUCUAUCUGGGCUUAGUCUCCCCAUUGUAACCAAACCUGAAUGAAUCUCAUCCCACAAUGCCAAGUGGUUUGGGUUUCCUUCUUCUCACAUCACAGCCUUGAAUAGGGCCCUGAUGUG